RNAcentral lists this ribosomal RNA (425 nucleotides) under uncultured cyanobacterium. RNAcentral describes it as "bacterial SSU rRNA". It matches the Rfam family "Bacterial small subunit ribosomal RNA", at positions 356 to 795 of the family's 1533-position model. The record is from RNAcentral. Lineage: Bacteria; Bacillati; Cyanobacteriota.
GGGGAAUUUUCCGCAAUGGGCGCAAGCCUGACGGAGCAACGCCGCGUGAGGGAGGAAGGCCUGUGGGUUGUAAACCUCUUUUCUCAAGGAAGAACACAAUGACGGUACUUGAGGAAUCAGCAUCGGCUAACUCCGUGCCAGCAGCCGCGGUAAGACGGAGGAUGCAAGCGUUAUCCGGAAUUACUGGGCGUAAAGCGUCCGUAGGUGGUUAUAAAAGUCUGUUGUUAAAGCCCACAGCUCAACUGUGGAUCGGCAAUGGAAACUGUAUGACUUGAGUGUGGUAGGGGUAGAGGGAAUUCCUAGUGUAGCGGUGAAAUGCGUAGAUAUUAGGAAGAACACCAGUGGCGAAGGCGCUCUACUGGGCCAUAACUGACACUGAUGGACGAAAGCUAGGGGAGCGAAAGGGAUUAUAUACCCCAGUAGUC